Non-coding RNA from Xenopus laevis (African clawed frog), 119 nucleotides. NCBI's taxonomy places the organism in Eukaryota, Metazoa, Chordata, Amphibia, Anura, Pipidae. The record is from Rfam.
CCCAAAAGCGUUGAGUUCAGUAUGAGUUGUCGAUCUCAUACUGGUAAUAAGCUUUGGGACAUUAAUGAGCUUACAGGAAAUGAAGAGUAACAGGACUCUCUAUCCUGUUGCCAACAUUU